Molecule: non-coding RNA, 115 nt
Organism: Acanthosepion pharaonis
Lineage: Eukaryota; Metazoa; Mollusca; Cephalopoda; Sepiida; Sepiidae
Source: the annotation of a GenBank genome assembly
UACGCCCAUAUCACGUUGAAACACCGGUUCUCGUACGAUCGUUGAAGUAAGCAACGUCGAGCUUGGUCAGAUGUACCUAGAUGGGUGACUGCUCGUGAAUACUAGGUGCUGUAAG